This is a long non-coding RNA of Aegilops tauschii subsp. strangulata, 816 nucleotides long. RefSeq lists it as uncharacterized. NCBI's taxonomy places the organism in Eukaryota, Viridiplantae, Streptophyta, Magnoliopsida, Poales, Poaceae. The record is from RefSeq and is a predicted model, not a curated record.
CCUCUAUGAACGCACACACGCACAUCUUAUCCUUAUUGAUGAUGUGAUUACAUAUAGGGAAACACUUGUGCUCAUACGUCUGAUACAGGAAGGAAACAUCAGAUCAAUUGCUCACCGCUUAUUCCCACAUCAUCCCACGGUCGAGAUCUCGCUGAAAAAAGGGUCCAAACCAACCGAUUACCACACACCCACCCUUCGCAUACAUUCGGCCAUCCCGUACCUCUAUCCCCAAAUCACCCCCUUUCUCGUUCCACUCUCCUCACCGCGCCGACGAGCUCUCCAUCCGUCGUGCCGCCCUUGUUCUCUUGUCCAGCGUCGUUUGACCCUGGUCACCGUCAAGCUCACGCUCCCUGCCCUGCUUCCGGCGCACUGCACCGCCGGCCGGCCACCGAUAUUCUCUGUUUUCACGAUCCAGGACGACCAGACAUUUUAAAGCACCUUCUUAUUCCAACAAUGCCUUUUUAUUCCCAAUACAAUUCCAAUGAUGUUACCAUCACACUGAGUGUGCUUUCAACGGGACCAGACGUCGACUUAUGUUCGCCGACUGCCUUGUCAAGGAUAGAGAGCUUAUGGCGCGCGUGCAAGAUCAAUCAGUUCAGCAGGCACUGCGACUUAGGCUAGCGGUGGAAAUGAAAAUAUUGUUGUUGUAAUAAUGUUUCUCAUUUAUUUUUGUAAAAAUAGGCGUAAACCGUUAGUCAUAUCGAGUAUAUUUGUAUACAUGGUCUGUGAGUUCUAUCAUGCUUCCACACUAUGAAGCAAUAUUGAUACAAUCAGGAAGCAAAUAACAUGGCCAUGUGCAUACAUUUUGGUUUACUA